GACGAACGCUGGCGGCGUGCUUAACACAUGCAAGUCGAACGGAAAGGCCCUGCUUUUGUGCGGGGCUCGAGUGGCAAACGGGUGAGUAACACGUGGGUAACCUGCCCUUGACUGUGGGAUAACUCCAGUAAACUGGGGCUAAUACCGGAUAGGAGCUCCUGCUCCAUGGGGGGGGUUGGAAAGUUUCGGCGGUUGGGGAUGGACUGGCGGCUUAUCAGCUUGUUGGUGGGGUAGUGGCUUACCAAGGCUUUGACGGGUAGCCGGCCUGAGAGGGUGACCGGCAACAAUGGGACUGAGGUACGGCCCAGACGCCUACGGGGGGCAGCAGUGGGGAAUAUUGCACAAUGGGCGGAAGCCUGAUGCAGCAACGCCGCGUGCGGGAUGACGGCCUUCGGGUUGUAAACCGCUUUCGCCUGUGACGAAGAGGGAGUGACGGUAAUGGGUAAAGAAGCACCGGCUAACUACGUG
RNAcentral lists this ribosomal RNA (468 nucleotides) under uncultured bacterium. RNAcentral describes it as "partial 16S ribosomal RNA". It matches the Rfam family "Bacterial small subunit ribosomal RNA", at positions 28 to 507 of the family's 1533-position model. The record is from RNAcentral.